CAGGAGGUAAGUGAAGGAAAUCCUCCAGCUGAGAUAGAAGGGAGAUCCCAGGAUAAUAGCUUUGCAGCCGACCUAGAGAACAAUCAUUUCAGAUUGGAGCAGGAGUAUGGAGGGCUCUGGAGCCAUAUAUCUAAGAAAAAAUGGAAACUGAUAAAAUUGAUAAAUUAUCUGAUUGUAUUUGGUUAUACUAAGAGGAGAGUUAUACUCCUAGAAGAGGGUAUGAGAAUGAAUUGGUAAUAAGUACAUAGGUAACUAAGCAAACAAAAAAAAU
Molecule: long non-coding RNA, 271 nt
Filed under: Homo sapiens (human)
Lineage: Eukaryota; Metazoa; Chordata; Mammalia; Primates; Hominidae
Description: HSALNT0219508
Source: RNAcentral